Molecule: ribosomal RNA, 468 nt
Filed under: uncultured bacterium
Lineage: Bacteria
Description: partial 16S ribosomal RNA
Rfam family: Bacterial small subunit ribosomal RNA
Source: RNAcentral
GACGAACGCUGGCGGCGUGCUUAACACAUGCAAGUCGAACGGAAAGGCCCUGCUUUGGGGGGGUGCUCGAGGGGCGAACGGGUGAGUAACCCGUAAGUAACCUGCCCUUGACUUUGGGAAAACUUCAGGAAACUGGGGCUAAUACCGGAUAGGAGCUCCUGCGGCAGGGUGGGGGUUGGAAAGUUUCGGCGGUUGGGGAUGGACUCGCGGCUUAUCAGCUUGUUGGUGGGGUAGUGGCUUACCAAGGCUUUGACGGGUAGCCGGCCUGAGAGGGUGACCGGCCACAUUGGGACUGAGAUACGGCCCAGACUCCUACGGGAGGCAGCAGUGGGGAAUAUUGCACAAUGGGCGGAAGCCUGAUGCAGCAACGCCGCGUGCGGGAUGACGGCCUUCGGGUUGUAAACCGCUUUCGCCUGUGACGAAGCGUGAGUGACGGUAAUGGGUAAAGAAGCACCGGCUAACUACGUG